GGAGUUUCGAAAAGACUCUUCGGGUCGCCCUAAUCGAAAAAAGGGCUCCGGCAUGCGCGCAUUAAAUGCCAACAUAUCUGAGGACGGUUGCGUGCGGGCGUCAGGGGGAGAACUUCGGCUGCGACGACCUCUCUGUACUUCCUUCAUUCGAAAUUCAAACUCGAAAGUAGGGGGACUGGUGUUGGGUAUAAAAUACCCUCG
This 201-nucleotide long non-coding RNA is filed under the name Elaeis guineensis (African oil palm). RNAcentral describes it as "long non-coding RNA (EGUI_LNC008874)". Lineage: Eukaryota; Viridiplantae; Streptophyta; Magnoliopsida; Arecales; Arecaceae. The record is from RNAcentral.